UACGUAGGGUGCGAGCGUUAAUCGGAAUUACUGGGCGUAAAGCGUGCGCAGGCGGUUUUGUAAGUCAGAUGUGAAAGCCCCGGGCUCAACCUGGGAAUUGCAUUUGAAACUGCAAGGCUAGAGUGUGUCAGAGGGGGGUAGAAUUCCACGUGUAGCAGUGAAAUGCGUAGAGAUGUGGAGGAAUACCGAUGGCGAAGGCAGCCCCCUGGGAUAACGCUGACGCUCAUGCACGAAAGCGUGGGGAGCAAACAGG
This 253-nucleotide ribosomal RNA is filed under the name uncultured bacterium. RNAcentral's name for it is "partial 16S ribosomal RNA". It matches the Rfam family "Bacterial small subunit ribosomal RNA", at positions 524 to 776 of the family's 1533-position model. The record is from RNAcentral.